GACGAACGCUGGCGGCGUGCUUAACGCAUGCAAGUCGAACGAUGACGCCCGAGCUUGCUCGGUCUGAUUAGUGGCGAACGGGUGAGUAACACGUGAGCAACCUGCCCUUCACUCUGGGAUAACCUCGGGAAAUCGGGGCUAAUACCGGAUAUGAGCUCCUGUCGCAUGGCGGGUGUUGGAAAGUUUUUCGGUGAAGGAUGGGCUCGCGGCCUAUCAGUUUGUUGGUGAGGUAGUGGCUCACCAAGGCGAUGACGGGUAGCCGGCCUGAGAGGGCGACCGGCCACACUGGGACUGAGACACGGCCCAGACUCCUACGGGAGGCAGCAGUGGGGAAUAUUGCACAAUGGGCGAAAGCCUGAUGCAGCGACGCCGCGUGAGGGAUGACGGCCUUCGGGUUGUAAACCUCUUUCAGCAGGGAAGAAGCGAAAGUGACGGUACCUGCAGAAGAAGCGCCGGCUAACUACGUG
This 467-nucleotide ribosomal RNA is filed under the name uncultured bacterium. Its description in RNAcentral is "partial 16S ribosomal RNA". It matches the Rfam family "Bacterial small subunit ribosomal RNA", at positions 28 to 507 of the family's 1533-position model. The record is from RNAcentral.